GCCGAGCCCGGCUGUGAGGGCGGACCCGGCACAGCCGCGGCAGCCCGAGCUGGAUCUUCAUCGCCGCCGUGGCGAGACACUGCGUUUCAAUGCAGAGGAUUUGCUGACGGUGUUUUGAGAUGCUCCAUAGAACCCACAGUUUCUGCAGUCCAGCUAACCACAUCCGCCGCCUGCAAAUGCAGCUGCGCGGGCAGAAGAGUGAGGAGGCGGGGCACAGGCCAGGCUGGCCGCGGGCAGGGAGGCAGAGGGCCCGUCCCAUGCUCAACCCUUCCUUCAGUAAAUGUAUUUCUUUGUUAGGGAGGUAGAACUGAUCACCUGGAUCAUCACAGAAAUUUCUUCAUUUAAAAGAAGGGAGACUCUUCUUCAGUUGAGUUCAUUAGUGGUAGAGUCAGUCCCUUGGAUCUUCCUAAUAUCUUUCAAAAAACUUCAAGAAAACAGAAAAAUCACUGCAGUCUGACUCCAAAUGAUUCCAGAAAUCCUGGGGAGUUUUUCCAGCAGAGUUCUUGUGUUCUAUCACGAAACGUGCCAAUUUUUCAUGGUUGCUUCUCUGAACAAAUGCAAACUUUUCUUUUUUUUUUAAAAAAAAGAAAAAUAAAAUAAUUUUUUUAAAAAUUACA
RNAcentral lists this long non-coding RNA (617 nucleotides) under Parus major (Great Tit). Its description in RNAcentral is "lncRNA (ENSPMJG00000010792.1)". Lineage: Eukaryota; Metazoa; Chordata; Aves; Passeriformes; Paridae. The record is from RNAcentral.